Molecule: ribosomal RNA, 301 nt
Filed under: uncultured bacterium
Lineage: Bacteria
Description: partial 16S ribosomal RNA
Rfam family: Bacterial small subunit ribosomal RNA
Source: RNAcentral
CAGCCGCCGCGGUAAUACAGAUGGUGCGAGCGUUAAUCGGAUUUACUGGGCGUAAAGCGUGCGUAGGCGGCUAAUUGAGUCGGAUGUGAAAUCCCCGAGCUUAACUUGGGAAUUGCAUUCGAUACUGGUUAGCUAGAGUGUGGGAGAGGAUGGUAGAAUUCCAGGUGUAGCGGUGAAAUGCGUAGAGAUCUGGAGGAAUACCGAUGGCGAAGGCAGCCAUCUGGCCUAACACUGACGCUGAGGUACGAAAGCAUGGGGAGCAAACAGGAUUAGAUACCCGGGUAGUCCCUGUCUCUUAUAC